Molecule: ribosomal RNA, 2911 nt
Filed under: Bacillus thuringiensis str. Al Hakam
Lineage: Bacteria; Bacillati; Bacillota; Bacilli; Caryophanales; Bacillaceae
Description: bacterial LSU rRNA
Rfam family: Bacterial large subunit ribosomal RNA
Source: RNAcentral
GGGCGCACGGUGGAUGCCUUGACACUAGGAGUCGAUGAAGGACGGGACUAACGCCGAUAUGCUUCGGGGAGCUGUAAGUAAGCUUUGAUCCGAAGAUUUCCGAAUGGGGAAACCCACCAUACGUAAUGGUAUGGUAUCCUUAUCUGAAUACAUAGGGUAAGGAAGACAGACCCAGGGAACUGAAACAUCUAAGUACCUGGAGGAAGAGAAAGCAAAUGCGAUUUCCUGAGUAGCGGCGAGCGAAACGGAACAUAGCCCAAACCAAGAGGCUUGCCUCUUGGGGUUGUAGGACAUUCUAUACGGAGUUACAAAGGAACGAGGUAGACGAAGCGACCUGGAAAGGUCCGUCGUAGAGGGUAACAACCCCGUAGUCGAAACUUCGUUCUCUCUUGAAUGUAUCCUGAGUACGGCGGAACACGUGAAAUUCCGUCGGAAUCUGGGAGGACCAUCUCCCAAGGCUAAAUACUCCCUAGUGAUCGAUAGUGAACCAGUACCGUGAGGGAAAGGUGAAAAGCACCCCGGAAGGGGAGUGAAAGAGAUCCUGAAACCGUGUGCCUACAAAUAGUCAGAGCCCGUUAACGGGUGAUGGCGUGCCUUUUGUAGAAUGAACCGGCGAGUUACGAUCCCGUGCGAGGUUAAGCUGAAGAGGCGGAGCCGCAGCGAAAGCGAGUCUGAAUAGGGCGUUUAGUACGUGGUCGUAGACCCGAAACCAGGUGAUCUACCCAUGUCCAGGGUGAAGUUCAGGUAACACUGAAUGGAGGCCCGAACCCACGCACGUUGAAAAGUGCGGGGAUGAGGUGUGGGUAGCGGAGAAAUUCCAAUCGAACCUGGAGAUAGCUGGUUCUCCCCGAAAUAGCUUUAGGGCUAGCCUUAAGUGUAAGAGUCUUGGAGGUAGAGCACUGAUUGGACUAGGGGUCCUCAUCGGAUUACCGAAUUCAGUCAAACUCCGAAUGCCAAUGACUUAUCCUUAGGAGUCAGACUGCGAGUGAUAAGAUCCGUAGUCAAAAGGGAAACAGCCCAGACCGCCAGCUAAGGUCCCAAAGUGUGUAUUAAGUGGAAAAGGAUGUGGAGUUGCUUAGACAACUAGGAUGUUGGCUUAGAAGCAGCCACCAUUUAAAGAGUGCGUAAUAGCUCACUAGUCGAGUGACUCUGCGCCGAAAAUGUACCGGGGCUAAAUACACCACCGAAGCUGCGGAUUGAUACCAAUGGUAUCAGUGGUAGGGGAGCGUUCUAAGGACAGUGAAGUCAGACCGGAAGGACUGGUGGAGUGCUUAGAAGUGAGAAUGCCGGUAUGAGUAGCGAAAGACGGGUGAGAAUCCCGUCCACCGAAUGCCUAAGGUUUCCUGAGGAAGGCUCGUCCGCUCAGGGUUAGUCAGGACCUAAGCCGAGGCCGACAGGCGUAGGCGAUGGACAACAGGUUGAUAUUCCUGUACCACCUCUUUAUCGUUUGAGCAAUGGAGGGACGCAGAAGGAUAGAAGAAGCGUGCGAUUGGUUGUGCACGUCCAAGCAGUUAGGCUGAUAAGUAGGCAAAUCCGCUUAUCGUGAAGGCUGAGCUGUGAUGGGGAAGCUCCUUAUGGAGCGAAGUCUUUGAUUCCCCGCUGCCAAGAAAAGCUUCUAGCGAGAUAAAAGGUGCCUGUACCGCAAACCGACACAGGUAGGCGAGGAGAGAAUCCUAAGGUGUGCGAGAGAACUCUGGUUAAGGAACUCGGCAAAAUGACCCCGUAACUUCGGGAGAAGGGGUGCUUUCUUAACGGAAAGCCGCAGUGAAUAGGCCCAAGCGACUGUUUAGCAAAAACACAGCUCUCUGCGAAGCCGUAAGGCGAAGUAUAGGGGGUGACACCUGCCCGGUGCUGGAAGGUUAAGGAGAGGGGUUAGCGUAAGCGAAGCUCUGAACUGAAGCCCCAGUAAACGGCGGCCGUAACUAUAACGGUCCUAAGGUAGCGAAAUUCCUUGUCGGGUAAGUUCCGACCCGCACGAAAGGUGUAACGAUUUGGGCACUGUCUCAACCAGAGACUCGGUGAAAUUAUAGUACCUGUGAAGAUGCAGGUUACCCGCGACAGGACGGAAAGACCCCGUGGAGCUUUACUGUAGCCUGAUAUUGAAUUUUGGUACAGUUUGUACAGGAUAGGCGGGAGCCUUUGAAACCGGAGCGCUAGCUUCGGUGGAGGCGCUGGUGGGAUACCGCCCUGACUGUAUUGAAAUUCUAACCUACGGGUCUUAUCGACCCGGGAGACAGUGUCAGGUGGGCAGUUUGACUGGGGCGGUCGCCUCCUAAAGUGUAACGGAGGCGCCCAAAGGUUCCCUCAGAAUGGUUGGAAAUCAUUCGUAGAGUGCAAAGGCAUAAGGGAGCUUGACUGCGAGACCUACAAGUCGAGCAGGGACGAAAGUCGGGCUUAGUGAUCCGGUGGUUCCGCAUGGAAGGGCCAUCGCUCAACGGAUAAAAGCUACCCCGGGGAUAACAGGCUUAUCUCCCCCAAGAGUCCACAUCGACGGGGAGGUUUGGCACCUCGAUGUCGGCUCAUCGCAUCCUGGGGCUGUAGUCGGUCCCAAGGGUUGGGCUGUUCGCCCAUUAAAGCGGUACGCGAGCUGGGUUCAGAACGUCGUGAGACAGUUCGGUCCCUAUCCGUCGUGGGCGUAGGAAAUUUGAGAGGAGCUGUCCUUAGUACGAGAGGACCGGGAUGGACGCACCGCUGGUGUACCAGUUGUUCUGCCAAGGGCAUAGCUGGGUAGCUAUGUGCGGAAGGGAUAAGUGCUGAAAGCAUCUAAGCAUGAAGCCCACCUCAAGAUGAGAUUUCCCAUAGCGUAAGCUAGUAAGAUCCCUGAAAGAUGAUCAGGUUGAUAGGUUCGAGGUGGAAGCAUGGUGACAUGUGGAGCUGACGAAUACUAAUAGAUCGAGGACUUAACCAUAUA